CAUGUUCGACCUGCUGCGGGCAGAUGAAAUGGAUAUGGCAGUCGAAGCCGCCGGGGGUCAGGAUGCGCCCCUCGCCAGCGAUGAUUUCCGUGCCGGGGCCAAUGACCAGCGUGACGCCGGGCUGGGUGUCGGGAUUGCCGGCCUUGCCGAUCCCGGCGAUGCGCCCGUCCUUCAGCCCGACAUCGGCCUUGGUGAUGCCCUGAUGGUCGAAGACGACAACGCCGGUGAUGACCGUAUCCAUCGCACCGCCUUCGCGCGUGACCUGAGAUUGCCCCAUGCCAUCGCGCACG
RNAcentral lists this small RNA (290 nucleotides) under Paracoccus seriniphilus. RNAcentral's name for it is "5' ureB small RNA". It matches the Rfam family "5' ureB small RNA". The record is from Rfam by way of RNAcentral. Lineage: Bacteria; Pseudomonadati; Pseudomonadota; Alphaproteobacteria; Rhodobacterales; Paracoccaceae.